Molecule: ribosomal RNA, 157 nt
Filed under: Oulastrea crispata
Lineage: Eukaryota; Metazoa; Cnidaria; Anthozoa; Scleractinia; Oulastreidae
Description: 5.8S ribosomal RNA
Rfam family: 5.8S ribosomal RNA
About the family: 5.8S ribosomal RNA (5.8S rRNA) is a component of the large subunit of the eukaryotic ribosome. It is transcribed by RNA polymerase I as part of the 45S precursor that also contains 18S and 28S rRNA. Functionally, it is thought that 5.8S rRNA may be involved in ribosome translocation.
Source: RNAcentral
AGACAACUUUUGACGGUGGAUCUCUUGGCUCACGCAUCGAUGAAGAACGCAGCCAGCUGCGAUAAGUAGUGUGAAUUGCAGAAUUCAGUGAAUCAUCGAAUCUUUGAACGCAAAUGGCGCUCUUGGGUUCUCCCAGGAGCAUGUCUGUCUGAGUGUC